This 392-nucleotide ribosomal RNA is filed under the name uncultured bacterium. Its description in RNAcentral is "partial 16S ribosomal RNA". It matches the Rfam family "Bacterial small subunit ribosomal RNA", at positions 523 to 917 of the family's 1533-position model. The record is from RNAcentral.
AUACGGAGGAUGCGAGCGUUAUCCGGAUUUAUUGGGUUUAAAGGGAGCGUAGGUGGGAUAUUAAGUCAGCUGUGAAAGUUUGGGGCUCAACCUUAAAAUUGCAGUUGAUACUGGUUUCCUUGAGUACGGUAUAGGUGGGCGGAAUUCGUGGUGUAGCGGUGAAAUGCUUAGAUAUCACGAAGAACUCCGAUCGCGAAGGCAGCUCACCGGGCCGGAACUGACACUGAUGCUCGAAAGUGCGGGUAUCAAACAGGAUUAGAUACCCUGGUAGUCCGCACAGUAAACGAUGAAUACUCGCUGUUUGCGAUACACGGUAAGCGGCCAAGCGAAAGCGUUAAGUAUUCCACCUGGGGAGUACGCCGGCAACGGUGAAACUCAAAUGAAUUGACGGG